GUUGGAUAACUGAGGUAAUUCUUGAGCUAAUACACGCUUUUUAUACCACAUUAGUGGUGCGUUUAUUUGAUUAAACCAUUUUUUCGGUUGACUCAAAAUAUCCUUGCUGAUUUUGUUAUUAAAACAUACCGUAUGUGUAUCUGGUUUAUCAACUUUCGAUGGUAGGGUAUUGGCCUACCAUGGUUGUGACGGAUAACGGAGAAUUAGGGUUCGACUCCGGAGAGGGAGCCUGAGAAACGGCUACCACAUCCAAGGAAGGCAGCAGGCGCGAAAAUUACCCAAUUUUAGUUCAAAGAGGUAGUGACGAAAAAUGACAACCAAAUAUUAUUAUUAAUAUUUGGAUUGAAAAUCUUCAAGUUUAAAUAACUUGUUGGUAAAGGAAAGGGCAAGUCUGGUGCCAGCAGCCGCGGUAAUACCAGCUUUCCAAGUGCAUAAAAUGAUUGUUGUGGUUAAAAAGCUCGUAGUUGGAUUAUAAAGAUUGUGUAAUGAGCAUCUUGGAUGUUUUAAUUUCAUUACCAUCUUAUUAUUUUUAUUAUAUUUUUCGGAAUAUAAUAAACUGUUACUUUGAAUAAAUCAGAGGGUUUAAACCAGGCAUUAUAUGCUUGUAUGGUCUAGCAUGGAAUAACACUAUAGAAAAAGUUAGUGUGGUUUCACUAAUCUUUUUCAUGAUUAAUAGGAACAAACGGGGGCAUUCGUAUCGCUACGUUAGAGGUGAAAUUCUUGGACCGUAGCGAGACGUCCUACUGCGAAAGCAUUUGCCAAGAAUGUUUUCAUUAAUCAAGAACGAAAGUUAGAGGUUCGAAGGCGAUCAGAUACCGCCCUAGUUCUAACCGUAAACUAUGCCUACUAGGUGUAUGAAUUAUUAGUUAUAAUAAUUUAUGCACCUUCUCGGAAACGAAAGUCUUUCGGUUCCGGGGGAAGUAUGGUUGCAAAGCUGAAACUUAAAGGAAUUGACGGAAGGGCACCACCAGGAGUGGAGCCUGCGGCUUAAUUUGACUCAACACGGGAAAACUCACCCGGGCCGGACACUAUAAGGAUUGACAGAUUGAUAGCUCUUUCAUGAUUUAGUGGUUGGUGGUGCAUGGCCGUUCUUAGUUCGUGGAUAUGAUUUGUCUGGUUGAUUCCGAUAACGAGCGAGACUUUUAUGUUAUAUUAAAUAAUAUUAUUUUAAAUUUUAUUUAAUAAUAUUUAUUUUAAUAACAGAUUAAUAGUGUUUAACUAUUUGAGAGAGAGCAAUAACAGGUCUGUGA
RNAcentral lists this ribosomal RNA (1250 nucleotides) under Strongyloides papillosus. RNAcentral describes it as "SSU rRNA". It matches the Rfam family "Eukaryotic small subunit ribosomal RNA", at positions 138 to 1467 of the family's 1831-position model. Lineage: Eukaryota; Metazoa; Nematoda; Chromadorea; Rhabditida; Strongyloididae. The record is from RNAcentral.